AUUGGGUUAGCAGAUAUGAAUGUGUUUGAUUUAGGAUCGAAAGGAGGAUGGUUUCCACCUAAUA
Molecule: transfer RNA, 64 nt
Filed under: Raeta pulchella
Lineage: Eukaryota; Metazoa; Mollusca; Bivalvia; Venerida; Anatinellidae
Description: tRNA-Leu
Source: RNAcentral